UUUUUUUUUUUUUUUUUUUUUUGGCAUAUACUGCAAAAGGUAUCAGGCUUUCUUUACAAUCUUUCCCCAAAGAACUGAGUGCCUGCUGGCCUAAUCUUCACAAAACUAAGGAAAGUCACUCCACUACUUUCCCUGUGGUCUGCUCCUCAGUGACUCGCUAACUUAUCUUCCAGAUAAAGGUCUGAUCUAAUUAUUGUCUAUAUUCUGCCGUAAUUGUGCAUCCAAUUCUAUUGGGUUAAGAAAGUACACCUCCCUUGAUCAAAUUGUGUGCCAGUGCAGGUCUUGAUUAUAUCAACAAGUCUUUGACAUGAGAAGUCAUAACUGAGGAACAAAUUGCUCCUCCACUCCAUACUGGAUAUGUCCAUUCUGGUCCCUGUUGAUGCUACAUUUCCCAAAGUCUGUUGCAGUUUUAAUGCAGACAUUUUUAAUUGAAAGAACAGUGUUACUUUAAACCAUAUUUUUUUAAAAAUUGAAGUAUAGUAUUUUUAAAAAUUGAAGUAUAUGUCUUUACAAUGUUGUAUUUGUUUCAGUUGUAUAGCAAAGUGAUUCAUACGUAUAUACAUGUAUAUAUGUAUUCUUUUUCAGAUUCUUUUCCAUUGUUAGUUGUUAGCAGAUAUUGAAUGUAGUUCCCUGUGUAAUACAGUAGGUUCUUGUUGUUUGUCUAUUUUAUAUAUAAUCGUGUGUUUAUAUUAAUCUUAAACUCCUAAUUUAUCCUCCCCAUCCAUUAUCCUCUUUGGUAACCAUAAAUUUGUUUUCUAUAUCUGUGAGUCUAAUUCUGUUUUGUAAAUAAAUUCAUUCAUAUCAAUUUUUUAGAUUCCGUAUAUAAGUGAUAUCAUAUUUGUCUUUGAUGUCACUUAAUAUGGAAUUAGUUCAUUCUUUUUACGGCUGAGUAAUAUUCCAUUAUAUAUCUGUGUGUGUGUGUGUGUGUGUGUGUUUGUGUGUGUGUGUGUGUGUGUGUGUAAUGUGAUGAUAACAUACCACAUCCUCUUUACCCACUCAUUUGUCGAUGGUCAUUUAGGUUCCUUCCAUGUCUUGGUUAUUGUAAACAGCACUGCUAUGAACAUUGAGGUACAUGUGUCUUUUCAAAUUAUAGUUUGGAUCCAGAUAUAUGCCCAGGAAUGGUAUUUCUGGAUCAUAUGACAACUCUAUUUGAAGUUUUUUUGAAGAAUCUACUUACUGGUUUCCACAGUGGUUGCACCAAUUUACAUUCCCUCCAAUAGAGUAGGGUGGUUCCUGUUUCUCCACACUUUCUUCAGCAUUUAUUAUUUGCAGAUUUUUAAAUUAUGGCCAUUCUGACUGGGGUGACAUGAUACCUCAUUGCAGCUUUGGUUUGCAUUUCUGUGAUAAUUAGCUAUAUUAAGCAUCUUUUCAUAUAUUUCUUGUCCAUCUGUAUGUCUUUGUAGGAAUAUCUAUUUAGCAUAACAGAUAUUUUUUAAGCAAUGAUACUAUGCUAUGCACUUAUCUGGGAUAUUGUAGUACAUGGAUGGAAAAUAUAGAAUCUACCUAUAAUAAUUAUGUCAUUAAAUAAGGUAAGGCCAAACAUAAACAACAGUGUUAUAUGGUAAAAAGUAAAAAGAGAAAGAUAUACACGAUCUGAAGAGAAACCAGAGUAUGUAUGUAUGACUGGGCCCAUUGCUGUAGAGUAGAAAUUGACAUAACACUGUAAACCAACUAUGAUGGAAAAAAUAAAAAUCAUAAAUGAAAAAGUAAAAAAAGUGAGAAGUUUGGGUACCUUUGAAAGCAGAACCAGAAAUAACAAAAAAAUAUUGUGCUAAUUCUUUACCAAGGAUUGAUUACAACCCCAAGAAAGGAGGUAUGAAGAUAGGGAAGGAAAGGAGAAGAAAAAUUAUAAGGGGAUGUUCACCAAGCUGGACACCACUGGCUAAAAAGUGUCACUAAUUUCUCAGCCUCAUGGGACUUCCUAGAGGCCUGUGAAACCGGGUCUCAGAGAAGUGCCUGGUGAAUGGAGAAUUUAUUCACUUGCUCUUCUCUCCCACUGGUCAAACUUCAUGUAUAUCCCACUGGGUUUAAUACCUCAGAAGCAAAAGGGAUAUACAAAAAUGGAAGGCAAGAGGUUCAGAACAGACAUGAAAAAGGUCACUGUCAGGUUGUGCUCCUGUGCAUUCAGCCAGAGUCCACACAGGGCUGCUUGCUUCUGUGGCUGGUGGAUAAACAAGGGCCCCUGAAGCACCUGAGCACUGGUUUGGGGGUGGUGCAGAACCUGAGGUGAUGAGCAAGGGGAACUUGACAUGGUAACAUAAGUAAGGUCCAGGUAAAGUGCUUUGGGGACUCAGAGAAGGAAUUAUACCUUAGAAGGGGCAUUGGGGAUAGGAUGAUGAGGAAUGGUUUUUGGAGAAGGUGAAUCUUGAGUGAGACGUUGCUGAUGGGUGGACUGGGAGGUAUAGGUGUGUGGGAUGAAGCUGAGUAGAGAGGGCUUUCCACAAAAAGGAGAUCUUGAUUUCCAGGACAUAGAAGGGUGGUACUGAGGAUGGGUGGAGAAAAGUUUAGGGCUCAGUCUGGCCAAGGCAUGGGAAAUAUGAAAGGAUGUUGAAGGGUAAGGCUCAAAAUGUAGACGGGUAGCUGGUAGAGCCAGGGUGAGGAGAUUUGAUUGGAAUCCUUUGACGAUGGGGAGGGGAGACACUGCAAUAAAAGUUUUAAUUUAGGAAUUUGAGUCCCUCUUCUUCACUAACUCUGUUCUAUCUAAUUAUCCACUUGUGCACAAAAUAGCAUUUUGAACAAGAAUAUAAUGGACAGUUAUUUUGGAAUUUCAGAGAUCCAUGGAAUAUAUUUAAAAACUCAUUAAAAAAAGCUCAUUAAUAGAUCCAAACUAUUGCAUUUGGAGUGGAUAAGCAAUGAGAUCCUGUUGCAUAGCACAGCGAAAUAUAUCUAGUCACUUAUGAUGGAACAUGAUGGAGGAUAAUGUGAGAAAAAGAAUGCAUAUAUUUGUGCGACUGGGUCACGUAGCUGUACAGUAGAAAUUGACAGAACACUGUAAACCAACUAUAAUGGAAAAAAUAAAAAUCAUUAUAAAAAAGGCUCGGUAUGCUUACCUGUCCUUCUUUUUGGAUAAAUAUAUUGAAACUUGAAGCACAAAAUAGUCAAGAUUCUUACUCUUACUGGUGUAUUUACAGAGUCCAGGCAUGGGCUCAAGUUAGAGUUCAGAUGAUGUGCUCAGGACUCUGUACUCUGCCUCAUGACUGUCCAUUAUUCCAUACAGGGUUCAGUUUCAGAUAAGUGGCCUCAGGGUGGUGACAAGAGUCAUCAGUCGCUCUAGGACAGCUAGUGGGGAAAUAGGAUGUUUCAAGAAAGAAAGAAAGAAGGAAAGAAAGAAAGAAAGAAAGAAAGAAAGAAAGAAAGAAAGAAAGAAAGACAGACAAAGAAAAGGAAAAAGGGAGAAUGAAAAAGAAAAGAGGGAUGGAGGGAUACUGGCUAGAAGAUGCAAAAAUGGACAAACAAGAGAUCCACUAUGGUAUCAGAAAUAUAUUGUCUCUACUGAAACUGGAGCUUGGUUCCUGGAGUUGGUUAUGGAGAGCACAGGGGUGGAAAAUAGCCACUGACACUUUUUUUUUUUAAGGUCCCUGGGACAAGAUGGCUUAUAUUCAAUGUCUGAACUCAGUGAAAGCCAAGUCCAGUUUGAUCCUUUUCAAAAAAGCUGUACCCUACAUUCAGUGAUGAGCUUUCAACAUGUUUCAGUCUUUCUUCUCCUACAGAAUUGAAGUGGGAAGCUCCCCCUCUGAGUGUUCCAGGAGGAAUACCUGGGACUAUAACUUCAUUACCCAGGGUUUUGAAAGGGAGCUUAGACUCUAUCAAAGCAGUAUACUUAAAAAAAGGAAUUCUCCUAGAGAAUGAAAGAUGGCAUCUCAGCAUUUUGGGGUUUUGUGUCUUUCAUUCUCUCCCCUACUUGAAUUAACAUGAAGUCAAAACCAGAUCUUAGAGCAGAAUUGGCUGCCACGUAAUUUAGACAUGUUUGCAUAACAUUCCAAAAAUAAUUCAAUAAGAAUAGGUUUUUCUUGGAAUUUAUCACUGCCUGGUAAAUUAGAGCCCAAACACAACAACUUUGUGCUAAAAAGGCAUGAGACCCAGAAAAUGGAAAUGACAGUGGCAGAGGGAAAGGAAACCCAAGCAGCCAGUUGACCGUCAUUAUCCGUGAUGGUGUGAAGCAGAAAUAGGAAACAUGAGGAAGGAACAGGGACAAACACAGCCUGAGGUUCAGACUCCCCAUUUUCUCCAGGACUCAGCAAGAGCUGACAGGCCAAGGUGGCAAAAGAAGGGCAUCUUAGGUCUCAGAAAUGGUUCUGAGAAAUGCUCCCAUGCUGUAUUUUUCCAUUUUCUUCAGCUGCAGGUUUUCCUUUCUUAUGAGUUCAAAUGGAGAGGACCCACAGGUUCAGAAAAUAAUAAACCAACAUAAACAUAUAGGAGCACUAAAUAGGAGCUUAUAAGGAGAGGGUCAGAGUAUUAAGUUUAGAUCAGAAGAUCCAGAAUGCUUUCAGUCUCUACCUUUCUCAUGGGGACAAAUCAAGUAACUUCUUUGAAGGUGACUUCUCCACUUGUGAUGGAACAUGAUGGAAGAUUAUAUGACAAAAAGAGCAUAUAUAUACACACACACACACACACACACACACACACAUAUAUAUAUACAUAUGUAUAUAUAUAUGACUGGGUCACUUUGUUGUACAGUAGAAAUUGACAGAACACUGUAAAUCAACUAUAAUGGAAAAAUAAAAAUCAUAAAAAAUGAAACAAUAAAACAAAAUGGGGGAGAAGGGAAUUCCUGCCAUUGGUCAGUGGAGACAAACUAGACUAGUAUCCAUGAGGAUGUGUGUUUGAUCCCUGGCCUCACUCAGUGGGUUAAGGAUCCAGAGCUGCCAUGAGCUGUGGUGUUGGUCACAGACAUGGCUCAGAUCUGGCAUUGUUGUGAAUGUGGCCUAGGCUGGCAGCUGUAUCUUUGAUUCGACCCCUAGCCUGGGAACUUCCAUAUGCUGCAGGUGUGGCCUGAAAAAGAUGAAAAAUAAAAUAAUAAAAUAAAAUAAUAAAAUGGGGGAGAAUAAUUAGCUUGAAUCACAAUGAACAUCUUUACCAAUGUGGUACCUCAUAGCUGCAGGCCUUUUUUAAAUCCAUGUGAUAAAUAUAGGAGACCUCAGGUCUAACUCAGGCCAUUCACAGAUGACAAUUCCCUAGGGUAACGUUGUUAGGCUUAAAGCUAAAGUUCUUGUGGAGCAGAAUUUUGGACUUGGGUUACCUGCCUGUGUCUCGGUAACCUUUGGCUUCUUCCUCACUCUACACCUUAGUGACUGUGAACAUGGUAGGCAAAGUUGUCUCUGUUCCCUUAAAUAUUGGUGUCCUUAAAGCUCUUCUCUUCUUAUUAUUGUUCCCCAUCUUCUCAGUCAUCCCAUACAUGCUAUGACUAUACAUUCCUCCUGUGGGUGUAUGGCCCGGAAUCCAUACUUUAGCCUAGAAUUCUCAUCUGACCGUGAUGUCUACUCAACCACUCAGACAUCUGGCAACACCCCAUCU
This 5514-nucleotide long non-coding RNA is filed under the name Sus scrofa (pig). Its description in RNAcentral is "lncRNA (ENSSSCG00035077123.1)". The record is from RNAcentral. Lineage: Eukaryota; Metazoa; Chordata; Mammalia; Artiodactyla; Suidae.